UGCAAGUCGAACGGUAAGUUAGUUGCUUGCAACUAACACGAGUGGCGCACGGGUGAGUAACGCGUACGCGACCUGCCCUCAAGAGGGAAAUAGCCCUGGGAAACCGGGAUUAAUGUCCCAUGUGAUUGUAUUUCUAAGGGAUAUAAUUAAAGGAGCGAUCCGCUUGAGGAUGGGCGUGCGUGCUAUUAGCUAGUUGGUGAGGUAAUGGCUCACCAAGGCGACGAUAGCUAGGGGGCGUGAGAGCGUGAACCCCCACACGGGUACUGAGACACGGACCCGACUCCUACGGGAGGCAGCAGUAAGGAAUAUUGGACAAUGGGGGCAACCCUGAUCCAGCCAUCCCGCGUGCAGGAAGACGGCCCUAUGGGUUGUAAACUGCUUUUAUUAGGGAAGAAUAGCAUCAAUGAAUUGGUGUAUGACGGUACCUAAAGAAUAAGCACCGGCUAACUCCGUGCCAGCAGCCGCGGUAAUACGGAGGGUGCAAGCGUUAUCCGGAAUCACUGGGUUUACAGGGUGCGUAGGUGGAAUACUAAGUCAGGCGUGAAAGGUUACAGCUUAACUUGUAGACUUGCGUUUGAUACUGUUAUUCUUGAAUUACGAUGAGGUUGGCAGAAUGCGACAUGUA
RNAcentral lists this ribosomal RNA (625 nucleotides) under uncultured organism. Its description in RNAcentral is "bacterial SSU rRNA". It matches the Rfam family "Bacterial small subunit ribosomal RNA", at positions 56 to 677 of the family's 1533-position model. The record is from RNAcentral.